AGCAGCCGCGGUAAUUCCAGCUCCAAUAGCGUAUAUUAAAGUUGUUGCAGUUAAAAAGCUCGUAGUUGAAUUUCGGGAUUGACGUGAUGGUCGUGCCUUAAGGGGUAUGAACUGUCGCUGUUGAUUUCUCACCUUCUGGAGAAACUUGAUGUCCUUAAUUGGGUGUCUUGCGGAUCCAGGACCUUUACCUUGAAAAAUUAGAGUGUUUAAAGCAGGCAUUUUUGCUCGAAUACAUUAGCAUGGAAUAAUAGAAUAGGACGGCAUGGUUCUAUUUUGUUGGUUUCUAGGAUCACCGUAAUGAUUAAUAGGGAUAGUUGGGGGCAUUAGUAUUCAAUUGUCAGAGGUGAAAUUCUUGGAUUUAUUGAAGACUAACUACUGCGAAAGCAUUUGCCAAGGAUGUUUUCAUUAAUCAAGAACGAAAGUUAGGGGAUCGAAGACGAUCAGAUACCGUCGUAGUCUUAACCAUAAACUAUGCCGACUAGGAAUCAGACGAUGUUAAUUUUUAAUGACUCGUUU
This 516-nucleotide unclassified non-coding RNA is filed under the name uncultured Glomus. RNAcentral's name for it is "SSU rRNA". It matches the Rfam family "Eukaryotic small subunit ribosomal RNA", at positions 569 to 1081 of the family's 1831-position model. RNAcentral also lists the same sequence under 1 other name. Lineage: Eukaryota; Fungi; Glomeromycota; Glomeromycetes; Glomerales; Glomeraceae. The record is from RNAcentral.